CCUACGGGAGGCAGCAGUGGGGAAUAUUGGUCAAUGGCCGUAAGGCUGAACCAGCCAAGUCGCGUUAAGGAAGAAGGAUCUAUGGUUUGUAAACUUCUUUUAUAGGGGAAUAAAGGUAUCCACGUGUGGAUAUUAGCAUGUACCCUAUGAAUAAGCAUCGGCUAACUCCGUGCCAGCCGCCGCGGUAAUACGGAGGAUGCGAGCGUUCUCCGUAUUUAUUAGGUUUAAAGGGUGCGUAGGUCGUUUUUUAAGUCAGCGGUGAAAGUUUGGGGCUCAACCAUAAAAUUGCCGUUGAGACUGGAAGGCUUGAGUGUGUUUGAGGUAGGCGGAAUGCGUGGUGUAGCGGUGAAAGGCAUAGAGAUCACGAAGAACUCCGAUUGCGAAGGCAGCUUACGAAGCCAUAACUGACACUGAAGCACGAAAGCGUGGGGAUCAAACAGGAUUAGAUACCCUAGUAGUC
Molecule: ribosomal RNA, 460 nt
Filed under: uncultured bacterium
Lineage: Bacteria
Description: partial 16S ribosomal RNA
Rfam family: Bacterial small subunit ribosomal RNA
Source: RNAcentral